Molecule: long non-coding RNA, 572 nt
Organism: Drosophila eugracilis
Lineage: Eukaryota; Metazoa; Arthropoda; Insecta; Diptera; Drosophilidae
Exons: 2
Source: RefSeq, a predicted model, not a curated record
AAUAUGGACACUUAUUUGUAAGCACACAAUGUUUUUCUCUCCCUUACUCUUACAUAAAAAUCGUAUGAGAGAAUACUAAUACUAUAUGUGACCUGUUCGCACGAUCAGCGAAUGUCACCAAUACAUCUAUAAUCUAGGCUAGGAUAGAAUAAGAUAAAGGAUUUAAAAGCACUUUGUUUUGACCACAGAAGAGAACAGAGAUAAAAAUAAGUAAAGGAAAUAAUGCCUCGUUGAAGUUGCAAUAUAAUUCCUCAUCCAUGCAUUACUUAUGGGCUAAAUUUCGUAUAUCAAAAGAGUAAUGGACAAAAAUUAAUAUUUGAAAAUCGUACUGAGCGCUUCAUCAAACAUAUCCGUUGAAGUCUUCAACCCACUCGACGACGCUCGACAAAUGUUUCAUAAAUAUUUCAAAGGGCUAUUAACGCUCACGGAUGCUCCAGAAAAGCUGAGACCAGCAGAGAUCCAAGUAUCAAACUAAUGAGCUGUGACAUAAAAAACAAAGCUUUUCCCCCAACCAACUCAGCUCUUCUCGUUUCUUCUCUUUCCCAAGGAAAAUAUAAAAAAAAAAAACAGAA